CGACCAACUAUCUAUAGUCUGUGCAAUUAUUUCAAACUAGUCGAUAUGCACAAAAAUAGACAAAAUAUUGGUCAAUCAACUCUAACCAAUUGGAUAGGAACUGAAUUGCAUUCUUUAUAGUUUUUUUUUUUUUAAAAAAUAGAGAUUAAAUCACAAUUUUUUUUUUGUCGGAAAUUCCCUCGUAUUUCGAUAUUUGCCAUCACUGGCUCUCUAAUGCUCCAACUACCAUCUCGAGUAAACAAAACAAUCCAUCAAUAACAUCACAACAUAUUGCUCAUACUAAAAACGUUUUCAAGGGUUUUUUCUUAAAAAAAACAAUAAAUUAAUUCUAGUAUUCCUCCAAAGUGGAUUUAAUUCCUUUGUGGGAGGAGCAAUUAUUGAUUGAUCGAAGCCAAGUGGCAAUAUUUUGUUAAUUUUGGAGUCAACUACCAACCUUUCUGUCAAUUUUCAUGUCAAAUAUAAAAUAUACGGGAAACCGAAAAGAUAGGGUUUGAAAAAAUAUGAUCUUGCCAAAACUAUUUGUAAAUUUAUAGAGUUCUUGAGAGUUGCAGCAAGAAGAAAACAUGAAAACAUGUGAGAAAUUGAUGCAGGUGGAAUGUGAGGGGAAUAAAAAUAUCGUGGAUACGGUGGUAAAAAACAUAGCACCCAGUAAAUAUUCGACAGUGUAAAUUAUGACACAAAAUCAGAGGAUAGCAAUAUCCAUUUAAGAAAAUGGAACAAUAGGAUUUGGUUAUCUCACAUCAUGACUUAGAAAGUGCUGCUCCUUGCACACCGAAUAAGCUAGAAAAGGAUUCAGUAAGAGCAGCUUCCAUCAUCACUCCUAGCUGUUGGAUCAAAGUUUGCUGCAUUUGGGUCGGUACAGCCUUCAGGGAUAGGCACCUUUACUUGCUGUGCCGCUUGGCCUACAACAAACAACAAUGAAAGAACACCAACUCAAGUAAAACUCCUGCUUUAACUUCAUGUACCAUAACUAUAACAGAAGCCAGACGCAAACCUCCCAUCCAGGCCUCUAGGAUGUAGGGAUCUAACCAUAGAAAGUUCCUCUCUCAAUGGCAUCUUGAUUGGCUUCACCAAGAGCAGCGUCGCUCAGGUACUUGUCAGCCAAUUGGACUCUCUUCACAUUCUCUUGCUCCUUGACAAGCAUGUUUCCGUACUCAAAGAGCUUCUCGACUGUCAUCGGUGGCUGCUCAAAAGUUGGGGGUCCUUCCCUUGAGUUCACAAGCUUCUUUCCAAUGCUCUCAACACCAACACCUGAGACCCACUU
RNAcentral lists this long non-coding RNA (1264 nucleotides) under Populus trichocarpa (black cottonwood). RNAcentral describes it as "long non-coding RNA (PTRI_LNC002097)". Lineage: Eukaryota; Viridiplantae; Streptophyta; Magnoliopsida; Malpighiales; Salicaceae. The record is from RNAcentral.